RNAcentral lists this ribosomal RNA (253 nucleotides) under uncultured bacterium. RNAcentral describes it as "partial 16S ribosomal RNA". It matches the Rfam family "Bacterial small subunit ribosomal RNA", at positions 524 to 776 of the family's 1533-position model. The record is from RNAcentral.
UACGUAGGGUGCGAGCGUUAAUCGGAAUUACUGGGCGUAAAGUGUGCGCAGGCGGUUGAGCAAGUCGAGUGUGAAAGCCCCGGGCUUAACUUGGGAAUUGCGCUCGAAACUACUUGACUGGAGUGUGGCAGAGGAAGGUGGAAUUCCACGUGUAGAGGUGAAAUUCGUAGAUAUUGGGAAGAACACCAGUGGCGAAGGCGGCCAUCUGGCCUGGAAUUGACGCUGAGGCGCGAAAGCGUGGGGAGCAAACAGG